RNAcentral lists this ribosomal RNA (1572 nucleotides) under bacterium ADurb.Bin236. RNAcentral describes it as "bacterial SSU rRNA". It matches the Rfam family "Bacterial small subunit ribosomal RNA". The record is from RNAcentral.
UCGGAGAGUUUGAUCCUGGCUCAGGAUGAACGCUGGCGGCGUGCUUAACACAUGCAAGUCUAACGGUUUCUCCCGCAUGAAGCUUCGGCCGAUUGCGGGUUGAGAAAGUGGCGAACUGGUGAGUAACACAUGGGUAACCUACCCCUCGGAUUGGGAUAACAGCUCGAAAGGGCUGCUAAUACAGAUAUGCUCACAGAGCCGCAUGGCUCGGUGAGGAAAGGCGGCCUCUGCUUGCAAGCGGCCACCGAGGGAGGGGCCUGUGGCCCAUUAGCUAGUUGGCGGGGUAACGGCCCACCAAGGCUACGAUGGGUAGCUGGUCUGAGAGGGCGACCAGCCACAUUGGGACUGAGAUACGGCCCAGACUCCUACGGGAGGCAGCAGUGAGGAAUUUUCCGCAAUGGACGAAAGUCUGACGGAGCGACGCCGCGUGGGUGAUGAAGGUCUUCGGAUCGUAAAGCCCUGUCGGGGGGGAAGAACCCCGUCGUAGUUAAUAGCUGCGACGGCUGACGGUACCCCCUAUAGGAAGCGCCGGCCAACUACGUGCCAGCAGCCGCGGUAAUACGUAGGGCGCAAGCGUUAUCCGGAUUCAUUGGGCGUAAAGAGCUCGUAGGCGGUUGGGUAAGUCACAUGUUAAAGAUCCGGGCUUAACCCGGGGAAUGCGUGUGAUACUGCCCGGCUAGAGGACGGGAGAGGGAAAUGGAAUUCCUGGUGUAGCGGUGAAAUGCAUAGAUAUCAGGAAGAAUACCAAUGGCGAAGGCAGUUUCCUGGACCGUUUCUGACGCUGAGGAGCGAAAGCUAGGGGAGCGAACAGGAUUAGAUACCCUGGUAGUCCUAGCUGUAAACGAUGGGCGCUAGGUGUGGGAGGUAUCGACCCCUCCUGUGCCGAAGCUAACGCAUUAAGCGCCCCGCCUGGGGAGUACGGUCGCAAGAUUAAAACUCAAAGGAAUUGACGGGGGCCCGCACAAGCGGUGGAGCAUGUGGUUUAAUUCGACGCAACGCGAAGAACCUUACCUAGGUUUGACAUCCCGAGAAUCCUCUUGAAAAAGGGGAGUGCCCUUCGGGGAACUUGGUGACAGGUGCUGCAUGGCUGUCGUCAGCUCGUGCCGUGAGGUGUUGGAUUAAGUUCCGCAACGAGCGCAACCCUUAUCCCUAUUUGCCAUCAUUAAGUUGGGAACUAUAGGGAAACUGCCAGUUUAUGACUGGAGGAAGGUGGGGAUGACGUCAAGUCAGCAUGGCCUUUAUGCCUAGGGCUACACACGUGCUACAAUGGUCGGUACAACGGGUCGCAACACUGCGAAGUGAAGCCAAUCCCUUAAAGCCGGCCCUAGUUCGGAUUGGAGUCUGCAAUUCGACUCCAUGAAGUUGGAAUCGCUAGUAACCGCGGAUCAGCACGCCGUGGUGAAUACGUUCUCGGGCCUUGUACACACCGCCCGUCACACCACCCGAGUCGGGUGCACCCGAAGUCGCUGACCUAACCCGCAAGGGAAGGAAGCGCCUAAGGUGUGCCUGGUGAGGAGGGUGAAGUCGUAACAAGGUAGCCGUAGCGGAAGCUGCGGCUGGAUCACCUCCUUU